This 1425-nucleotide ribosomal RNA is filed under the name uncultured organism. Its description in RNAcentral is "bacterial SSU rRNA". It matches the Rfam family "Bacterial small subunit ribosomal RNA". The record is from RNAcentral.
CGAACGCUGGCGGCGUGCUUAACACAUGCAAGUCGAGCGAGAAGCUUAUUGACAAACUUUUAGUGAGUCGAUAAGUGGAAAGCGGCGGACGGGUGAGUAACGCGUGGGUAACCUGCCCUUGACUGGGGGAUAACACCGGGAAACUGGUGCUAAUACCGCAUAAAGCCAUACCAUAGCAUUAUGGAAUGGCCAAAAGGUUUACUGGUCUUGGAUGGACCCGCGUCCGAUUAGCUAGUAGGUGAGGUAACGGCUCACCUAGGCAACGAUCGGUAGCCGGAUUGAGAGGUUGGCCGGCCACAUUGGGACUGAGACACGGCCCAGACUCCUACGGGAGGCAGCAGUGGGGAAUAUUGCACAAUGGGGGAAACCCUGAUGCAGCAACGCCGCGUGAAGGAUGAAGGCCUUCGGGUCGUAAACUUCUUUGAUUGGGGACGAACAAUGACGGUACCCAAAAAACAAGCCACGGCUAACUACGUGCCAGCAGCCGCGGUAACACGUAGGUGGCAAGCGUUGUCCGGAAUUACUGGGUGUAAAGGGCGCGCAGGCGGGGAUGUAAGUCAGGUGUGAAAUACCACGGCUUAACCGUGGGGCUGCAUCUGAAACUAUGUCUCUUGAGUACUGGAGAGGAAAGUGGAAUUCCUAGUGUAGCGGUGAAAUGCGUAGAUAUUAGGAGGAACACCAGUGGCGAAGGCGGCUUUCUGGACAGUAACUGACGCUGAGGCGCGAAAGCGUGGGGAGCAAACAGGAUUAGAUACCCUGGUAGUCCACGCUGUAAACGAUGGAUACUAGGUGUAGGAGGUAUCGACCCCUUCUGUGCCGGAGUUAACACAUUAAGUAUCCCACCUGGGGAGUACGACCGCAAGGUUGAAACUCAAAAGAAUUGACGGGGGCCCGCACAAGCAGUGGAGUAUGUGGUUUAAUUCGAAGCAACGCGAAGAACCUUACCAGGGCUUGACAUCCUCUGACGACUCUAGAGAUAGAGUUUUCCUUCGGGACAGAGUGACAGGUGGUGCAUGGUUGUCGUCAGCUCGUGUCGUGAGAUGUUGGGUUAAGUCCCGCAACGAGCGCAACCCUUGUCGUUAGUUGCCAGCAUUCAGUUGGGCACUCUAGCGAGACUGCCGGUGAUAAAUCGGAGGAAGGUGGGGAUGACGUCAAAUCAUCAUGCCCCUUAUGUCCUGGGCUACACACGUACUACAAUGGCUGUUACAGAGGGAAGCGAAACCGCGAGGCGGAGCUAAUCCCCAAAGGCAGCCCCAGUUCGGAUUGCAGGCUGCAAUUCGCCUGUAUGAAGUCGGAAUUGCUAGUAAUGGCAGGUCAGCAUACUGCCGCGAUACGUUCCCGGGCCUUGUACACACCGCCCGUCACACCAUGAGAGUCAGCAACACCCGAAGUCAGUAGUCUAACCUUUUGGAAGACGCUGCCGAA